RNAcentral lists this ribosomal RNA (544 nucleotides) under uncultured Glomeromycotina. RNAcentral's name for it is "SSU rRNA". It matches the Rfam family "Eukaryotic small subunit ribosomal RNA", at positions 548 to 1098 of the family's 1831-position model. The record is from RNAcentral. Lineage: Eukaryota; Fungi; Glomeromycota.
UUGGAGGGCAAGUCUGGUGCCAGCAGCCGCGGUAAUUCCAGCUCCAAUAGCGUAUAUUAAAGUUGUUGCAGUUAAAAAGCUCGUAGUUGAAUUUCGGGGUUCUACCGUUGGUCGGGCUUUGUCUGUACUGGUGUGUAGAAUUUCUACCUUCUGGGGAACCAUCAUGCUAUUAAUUUAGCGUGGUGGGAAACCAGGACCUUUACCUUGAAAAAAUUAGUGUGUUCAAAGCAGGCUUAUGUCUGAAUACAUUAGCGUGGAAUAAUAGAAUAGGACGGUGGUCCUGUUUUGUUGGUUUCUGAAUCACCGUAAUGAUUAAUAGGGAUAGUUGGGGGCAUUAGUAUUCAAUUGUCAGAGGUGAAAUUCUUGGAUUUAUUGAAGACUAACUUCUGCGAAAGCAUUUGCCAAGGAUGUUUUCAUUAAUCAAGAACGAAAGUUAGGAGAUCGAAGACGAUCAGAUACCGUCGUAGUCUUAACCAUAAACUAUGCCGACUAGGGAUCGGACGAUGUUAAUUUUUCUUGACUCGUUCGGCGCCUUACGGGAAAC